This 402-nucleotide ribosomal RNA is filed under the name uncultured bacterium. RNAcentral describes it as "bacterial SSU rRNA". It matches the Rfam family "Bacterial small subunit ribosomal RNA", at positions 975 to 1375 of the family's 1533-position model. The record is from RNAcentral.
CUGGCCUUGACAUGUCCGGAAUCCUGCAGAGAUGCGGGAGUGCCUUCGGGAAUCGGAACACAGGUGCUGCAUGGCUGUCGUCAGCUCGUGUCGUGAGAUGUUGGGUUAAGUCCCGCAACGAGCGCAACCCUUGUCCUUAGUUGCCAGCGAGUAAUGUCGGGAACUCUAAGGAGACUGCCGGUGACAAACCGGAGGAAGGUGGGGAUGACGUCAAGUCCUCAUGGCCCUUACGGCCAGGGCUACACACGUACUACAAUGGUCGGUACAGAGGGUUGCAAUACCGCGAGGUGGAGCCAAUCCCAGAAAGCCGAUCCCAGUCCGGAUCGAAGUCUGCAACUCGACUUCGUGAAGUCGGAAUCGCUAGUAAUCGCAGAUCAGCUAUGCUGCGGUGAAUACGUUCCC